AGAUUUACUAAAAGAAAUUAAUUUCUCAUUUGAUUAUUUAGUGAUGCUGUUCUCUUUUCUGCGGGUAUAGAAAGAUGAAUUGGGCAUUGGAUCUGCAAAAAAAGAGAGAAUACUGGAUCUGUAAAUCAAGGGCAUUGCUGCUUUUGUGAGUUAAUUUUGUUUCCCUGUUGCACUAAUUUUGGUUGUCAAUUUGUGGGUUGUUUUGUUCAUUAU
Molecule: unclassified non-coding RNA, 213 nt
Filed under: Hevea brasiliensis (rubber tree)
Lineage: Eukaryota; Viridiplantae; Streptophyta; Magnoliopsida; Malpighiales; Euphorbiaceae
Source: RNAcentral